CAUCUUUAUAAGUGACGUGUUGAUGACGUCCAUCAGCAAGUUGAACGUGGUAAUAACCUGACACUUUACCCUGUCUAUCUCCAACUCUCGUAUCGCCAAAACUAGUGUAAUCAUCGCCCUUGACUUCGUAACUGAACUUUUAAAUUGCCAAUCUUACACUGGAUUCGUGUGCUGGAAGAGGAUUGUAAGGCUUGCUGGGAGGUGGUUUUGCUGUUUGUUUGUCGUAUCGAGCUUCAGAAACGACGAUGGAAACCAAAACCACGAGAAUAAGCAACUGUCAUCAAAGAGUGGAUUGCAAGUCACUGUUAAGACACUCGAAAGACAACUGACAGUCCAUCAGGUGUUGAUUGUUAUGGUAUAUAUACUGUGGGCUUAGACCAUCAUCACAAAUUGAAAAUGGCUGGGCCAAUUCGAUAUACCAGCCUCACUCUACAAUGUGGGAAAAUAAUCGACAGUGACAAAAACCUUAACCGAGUAAAAAAGCUAUCAAGGGUGUAGUCGAUUUUCACUGAACACCACCAACUGGUUAACGCUUUCUCCCCCCAAUGUAAUUUUGCACAUCGUCAGAAUAUUUUGCCUUCCGUAUUGAUCCUGUCCAGGGUUCUCACCUGUUCGUCUUGCAUUAGAAGUGUAGCUUUGCAUUACAUAAUGAUGAGAGCACAAUGUGAUACGAGACAGUUUCUACCAGAUGUUGAAUAAAUUGGGCUUUCACUGAUCGAUGCCACAAUCGACCACAACCAGCAUCCAUCGUAAGAUCAUGGCGGAGAUUAGAAGGAAAAACUAUACUCUUGAUGUCUCCACACGCAACAUUAAUUAUCAAGCCGCAUCAUCAACGUAUUUUGCGUUUCACCAUAGCGGAAAUCGUCUGUUUUCUUUAUGUUUCCCGCUUGCGUUCAUUGUCGCAACAGUCUGGUAUCCAAUUGAUCUCAACAAUUCCGUCGAAUGGAGUCGAUUCCGAGCUGCCGUUGCAAGGAAAUUGGCCGUCUGCUUGCUUACCGCAAGGUGAAUUCAAAUUGUAUUCAAAGUCUACAACGUAGACGGCAUUAAUACCAAAAUUACGCUGAAUAAUUCAUGAAGAACAAUGGGAUACAUUGACAAUGAAGGUAACGCCGGCACCUUUCGUUACAAUCUCGAGUGAUUUAAUCUAAACGUAUGCGGUAACCUCUCGUAUUGUUUUUGCUUGACAACAUUGAAACGUACAUUAGGUGAUGCCAAUGGUUUAUCUUAUGAAAGCUUUCGUUCUUCAAAAGAAAAGAGUAAGAUCUUGGGCCUUGAAUUCAUUCCGUUUUGACUCUGUGAGAUCAAAAGGAAACGACCAAGACAAAGAGAAAUAAUAAAAAGUUACAUGGUUUCUCUUUUUCGCUAUAGCCGGAGAAGAAUUGAAUGCGUACAACAACAACAACAACAAAACUUGGUAUAUUAAAAGCCUGCAGGUCUUUUAUUGUUCAGUUUAAAACAAAAAAUUUGAAUCGGUGGAUGUUGCAAUAUCAUUAUGAAUAAAGAAGAGAGGAGGCCCCUCCUAACGGGAAAUCUUUUAUGGUGAGAAAAAAAUUCGACUUGUGACCGGAGGUGGCAAUUCAAAAAUAUCUGGAGCAAGGUGAAUGCUAAUAUACAACAUACAGUUGUAGAACGGGCUGCUUUUUAAUCAUAAAAUAAAAUAAAAAAAUAAAAUAAAAAUAUUUUCAUAUUAUGGAAAUGAGAUGCGCUGCAGGAAGAGAGUGAAAGUUUCACUUGGCCCAAGACCA
Molecule: long non-coding RNA, 1745 nt
Organism: Daphnia magna
Lineage: Eukaryota; Metazoa; Arthropoda; Branchiopoda; Diplostraca; Daphniidae
Exons: 3
Source: RefSeq, a predicted model, not a curated record